AGACCCGAAACCCGGUGAUCUAGCCAUGGGCAGGUUGAAGGUUGGGUAACACUAACUGGAGGACCGAACCGACUAAUGUUGAAAAAUUAGCGGAUGACCUGUGGCUGGGGGUGAAAGGCCAAUCAAACCGGGAGAUAGCUGGUUCUCCCCGAAAGCUAUUUAGGUAGCGCCUCGUGAAUUCAUCUCCGGGGGUAGAGCACUGUUUCGGCUAGGGGGCCAUCCCGGCUUACCAACCCGAUGCAAACUGCGAAUACCGGAGAAUGUUAUCACGGGAGACACACGGCGGGUGCUAACGUCCGUCGUGAAGAGGGAAACAACCCAGACCGCCAGCUAAGGUCCCAAAGUCAUGGUUAAGUGGGAAACGAUGUGGGAAGGCCCAGACAGCCAGGAUGUUGGCUUAGAAGCAGCCAUCAUUUAAAGAAAGCGUAAUAGCUCACUGGUCGAGUCGGCCUGCGCGGAAGAUGUAACGGGGCUAAACCAUGCACCGAAGCUGCGGCAGCGACGCUGAUGCGUUGUUGGGUAGGGGAGCGUUCUGUAAGCCUGCGAAGGUGUGUCGUGAGGCAUGCUGGAGGUAUCAGAAGUGCGAAUGCUGACAUAAGUAACGAUAAAGCGGGUGAAAAGCCCGCUCGCCGGAAGACCAAGGGUUCCUGUCCAACGUUAAUCGGGGCAGGGUGAGUCGACCCCUAAGGCGAGGCCGAAAGGCGUAGUCGAUGGGAAACGGGUUAAUAUUCCCGUACUUGGUGUUACUGCGAAGGGGGGACGGAGAAGGCUAUGUUGGCCGGGCGACGGUUGUCCCGGUUUAAGCGUGUAGGUGUGUGUUCCAGGUAAAUCCGGUUCACUUUAACACUGAGGCGUGAUGACGAGGCACUACGGUGCUGAAGCAACAAAUGCCCUGCUUCCAGGAAAAGCCUCUAAGCAUCAGGUAACAUCAAAUCGUACCCCAAACCGACACAGGUGGUCAGGUAGAGAAUACCAAGGCGCUUGAGAGAACUCGGGUGAAGGAACUAGGCAAAAUGGUGCCGUAACUUCGGGAGAAGGCACGCUGACACGUAGGUGAAGUGAUUUACUCAUGGAGCUGAAGUCAGUCGAAGAUACCAGCUGGCUGCAACUGUUUAUUAAAAACACAGCACUGUGCAAACACGAAAGUGGACGUAUACGGUGUGACGCCUGCCCGGUGCCGGAAGGUUAAUUGAUGGGGUCAGCGCAAGCGAAGCUCCUGAUCGAAGCCCCGGUAAACGGCGGCCGUAACUAUAACGGUCCUAAGGUAGCGAAAUUCCUUGUCGGGUAAGUUCCGACCUGCACGAAUGGCGUAAUGAUGGCCAGGCUGUCUCCACCCGAGACUCAGUGAAAUUGAACUCGCUGUGAAGAUGCAGUGUACCCGCGGCAAGACGGAAAGACCCCGUGAACCUUUACUAUAGCUUGACACUGAACAUUGAGCCUUGAUGUGUAGGAUAGGUGGGAGGCUUUGAAGUGUGGACGCCAGUCUGCAUGGAGCCGGCCUUGAAAUACCACCCUUUAAUGUUUGAUGUUCUAACGUGGACCCGUGAUCCGGGUUGCGGACAGUGUCUGGUGGGUAGUUUGACUGGGGCGGUCUCCUCCUAAAGAGUAACGGAGGAGCACGAAGGUUGGCUAAUCCUGGUCGGACAUCAGGAGGUUAGUGCAAUGGCAUAAGCCAGCUUGACUGCGAGCGUGACGGCGCGAGCAGGUGCGAAAGCAGGUCAUAGUGAUCCGGUGGUUCUGAAUGGAAGGGCCAUCGCUCAACGGAUAAAAGGUACUCCGGGGAUAACAGGCUGAUACCGCCCAAGAGUUCAUAUCGACGGCGGUGUUUGGCACCUCGAUGUCGGCUCAUCACAUCCUGGGGCUGAAGUAGGUCCCAAGGGUAUGGCUGUUCGCCAUUUAAAGUGGUACGCGAGCUGGGUUUAGAACGUCGUGAGACAGUUCGGUCCCUAUCUGCCGUGGGCGCUGGAGAACUGAGGGGGGCUGCUCCUAGUACGAGAGGACCGGAGUGGACGCAUCACUGGUGUUCGGGUUGUCAUGCCAAUGGCACUGCCCGGUAGCUAAAUGCGGAAGAGAUAAGUGCUGAAAGCAUCUAAGCACGAAACUUGCCCCGAGAUGAGUUCUCCCUGAGACUUAGAGUCUCCUGAAGGAACGUUGAAGACGACGACGUUGAUAGGCCGGGUGUGUAAGCGCAGCGAUGCGUUGAGCUAACCGGUACUAAUGAACCGUGAGGCUUAACCUUACA
RNAcentral lists this ribosomal RNA (2242 nucleotides) under Salmonella enterica. Its description in RNAcentral is "partial 23S ribosomal RNA". It matches the Rfam family "Bacterial large subunit ribosomal RNA", at positions 711 to 2925 of the family's 2925-position model. The record is from RNAcentral. Lineage: Bacteria; Pseudomonadati; Pseudomonadota; Gammaproteobacteria; Enterobacterales; Enterobacteriaceae. RNAcentral also lists the same sequence under 4 other names.